Molecule: long non-coding RNA, 713 nt
Filed under: Zea mays
Lineage: Eukaryota; Viridiplantae; Streptophyta; Magnoliopsida; Poales; Poaceae
Description: long non-coding RNA (ZMAY_LNC003435)
Source: RNAcentral
GAGAACUGGAGACAGAGAAGGGAGGAGGGAGACAACAGGAUAAUAUGUGGCCAGUUUCGUUUUGUUUUGAACUGGAACUGCUACAGCGUUUGUGUAUGUUGCUAGCUCUUUGGUUCCCGCAGUUGUUUCGUGAUACUUUGUGUUGUUGUAGCACUGUUGUUUUUUCUGUUUCCCUUUAUGUUUGUCCAGAGAACGAGUACCCAACAACACAGCACAUUGGGAUCUCAAGCCUGCACGUACGCUGCAGUUUGGAGUGGUUUUGUAGAAUGGAUCCGUUUUUUCAGUUUACUUCAAGAGAUGGAACGAUGGAAAGCUUUCUGAACUCCACUGCUUGUCUGCUUCUUUACCCAUUCUUGCUUUGGUUAGCAGAGAUCAUAUGCAUAUCUUCCUCCCUUAUUGGUUGGUACAUUUGAUCAUCCGCCUGUCAGCUGCACACCUACCUCCUUGCUGCAGCUGUUCGCGCUGAAUGCAGGUCCUUUGGGCUGUAAAAUGUCACUCUUUCCCUCAUUCCCUACAAGGACUCUGAACUCCAUUAAAAAUAAUGACAGAAAAGGCGUCUCCUUUUUGUAAACAUCUUUUUUUUGGGGGGGGGGGGGGGGGGGAGGCAUCGGUGAAAAGUUGUCCAUCAUCAAUCGUUUUUCCUUUUUCUCAUCAAUUGUCUUGUUUCUUUUGCUCCUGUAAUGUCUGUGCCGUAGCUCGAGCUACCUGUUGAU